AAGUCGUAACAAGGUUUCCGUAGGUGAACCUGCGGAAGGAUCAUUAUUGAAAAUAAACCUGAUGGGUUGCUGCUGGUUCUCUAGGGAGCAUGUGCACGCUUGUCGUCUUUAUAUCUCCACCUGUGCACCUUUUGUAGACCUGGAUGUCUCUCUGAGUGCUAGUCACUCAGGUUUGAGGAUUGACUUCAUGUCUCUCCUUACAUUUUCAGGCCUAUGUUUCUUCAUAUACCCCAAUGUAUGUCUUAGAAUGUAAUCAAUGGGCCUUUGUGCCUAUAAAUCUAUACAACUUUCAGCAACGGAUCUCUUGGCUCUC
This 313-nucleotide unclassified non-coding RNA is filed under the name air metagenome. RNAcentral describes it as "partial contains small subunit ribosomal RNA, internal transcribed spacer 1, and 5.8S ribosomal RNA". The stretch from base 1 to 46 matches the Rfam family "Eukaryotic small subunit ribosomal RNA", at positions 1786 to 1831 of the family's 1831-position model. The record is from RNAcentral.